RNAcentral lists this non-coding RNA (317 nucleotides) under Winslowiella iniecta. Lineage: Bacteria; Pseudomonadati; Pseudomonadota; Gammaproteobacteria; Enterobacterales; Erwiniaceae. The record is from RNAcentral.
GAGACUGUGGACUGGACGACGUCAGGAUGAUGUCACUUCAGGAUGAAGCGGACCACAUCCGGACGAUGCACGGAAAGGCUUCAGGAAGAAGCAAGGAUAUCUCAGGAUGAGAUAUGGACACCUCCAGGAAGGAGAAUGAGAGCCAUACCAGGAAGGUGUGGUGGGCCAGGAUGCCAAAGGAUGAUAAGCCGGGAUGGCUUAAUGUGUCAGGAUGGCACACAGGAAAAGUUUUCAAGGAUGAGCAGGGAGCACAAAAGUAGCUGGAGCGCUGCAAACGAACCGGGAGCACUGUUUUUACAGUGCUCCCUUUUUUUGUU